RNAcentral lists this ribosomal RNA (261 nucleotides) under uncultured bacterium. RNAcentral's name for it is "partial 16S ribosomal RNA". It matches the Rfam family "Bacterial small subunit ribosomal RNA", at positions 191 to 453 of the family's 1533-position model. The record is from RNAcentral.
GUCUUUACGGAGAAAGCUUUAUGCGCCGAUGGAUGAGCCUGCACUUGAUUAGUUUGUUGGUAGGGUAAUGGCCUACCAAGACAAUGAUCAAUAGCUGAUUUGAGAGGAUGAUCAGCCACAUUGGGACUGAGACACGGCCCAAACUCCUACGGGAGGCAGCAGUAGGGAAUCUUGCACAAUGGGGGAAACCCUGAUGCAGCGAUGCCGCGUGAGUGAAGAAGGCCUUUGGGUUGUAAAGCUCUUUCGUCGGGGAAGAAAAUG